GAUGAACGCUGGCGGCGUGCCUAAUACAUGCAAGUCGAGCGAACAGACGAGGAGCUUGCUCCUCUGACGUUAGCGGCGGACGGGUGAGUAACACGUGGAUAACCUACCUAUAAGACUGGGAUAACUUCGGGAAACCGGAGCUAAUACCGGAUAAUAUAUUGAACCGCAUGGUUCAAUAGUGAAAGACGGUUUUGCUGUCACUUAUAGAUGGAUCCGCGCCGCAUUAGCUAGUUGGUAAGGUAACGGCUUACCAAGGCGACGAUGCGUAGCCGACCUGAGAGGGUGAUCGGCCGCACGGGAGCGGGGACACGGUCCAGACGCCUACGGGAGGCAGCAGUAGGGGAUGGGGGGCAAUGGGGGGAAGGGUGACGGAGCGAGGCCGCGUGAGGGAUGAAGGUGUUGGGAGCGGGAAGCGGGGUUAGGGGGGGAGAACAAAUGUGUAAGUAACUAUGCACGUCUUGACGGUACCUAAUCAGAAAGCCACGGCUAACUACGUG
RNAcentral lists this ribosomal RNA (497 nucleotides) under uncultured bacterium. RNAcentral's name for it is "partial 16S ribosomal RNA". It matches the Rfam family "Bacterial small subunit ribosomal RNA", at positions 28 to 507 of the family's 1533-position model. The record is from RNAcentral.